Priapulus caudatus is the source of this 217-nucleotide long non-coding RNA. RefSeq lists it as uncharacterized. The transcript is spliced from 3 exons. Lineage: Eukaryota; Metazoa; Priapulida; Priapulimorpha; Priapulimorphida; Priapulidae. The record is from RefSeq and is a predicted model, not a curated record.
UAAGUGGACAGUCCAAGCUAGGCACGCGGCAACAGUUACAAGUACUACUACUAUUGCUGCUGCUGCUACUACAACUACUACUUCUACUACUAGUACGUGCUGCAAGCAACGGAACCAGAAUGGCGACAACAACAGCAGCAGCGGCGGCAGCGGCGGUAGUGUUGAUGAUGUUCCUAACUAUUGAUGCAAGACCAUCGCGCUCAUCGAGCGGUUACAA